UCCAGACUCCUACGGGAGGCAGCAGUGGGGAAUAUUGCACAAUGGGGGAAACCCUGAUGCAGCGACGCCGCGUGAGUGAAGAAGUAAUUCGUUAUGUAAAGCUCUAUCGGCAGGGAAGAAAAUGACGGUACCUGACUAAGAAGCCCCGGCUAACUACGUGCCAGCAGCCGCGGUAAUACGUAGGGGGCGAGCGUUAUCCGGAUUUACUGGGUGUAAAGGGAGCGUAGACGGUUCUGCAAGUCUGAAGUGAAAGCCCGUGGCUUAACCGCGGAACGGCUUUGGAAACUGUGGAACUGGAGUGCUGGAGAGGCAAGCGGAAUUCCUAGUGUAGCGGUGAAAUGCGUAGAUAUUAGGAGGAACACCAGUGGCGAAGGCGGCUUGCUGGACAGUAACUGACGUUGAGGCUCGAAAGCGUGGGGAGCAAACAGGAUUAGAUACCCUCGUAC
This 446-nucleotide ribosomal RNA is filed under the name uncultured bacterium. RNAcentral's name for it is "bacterial SSU rRNA". It matches the Rfam family "Bacterial small subunit ribosomal RNA", at positions 330 to 793 of the family's 1533-position model. The record is from RNAcentral.